UACGGAAGGCAGCAGGGGGAAUAUUGCACAAUGGGCGCAAGCCUGAUGCAGCCAUGCCGCGUGUAUGAAGAAGGCCUUCGGGUUGUAAAGUACUUUCAGUCGUGAGGAAGGUGUUAAGGUUAAUAACCUUAGCAAUUGACGUUAGCGACAGAAGAAGCACCGGCUAACUCCGUGCCAGCAGCCGCGGUAAUACGGAGGGUGCGAGCGUUAAUCGGAAUUACUGGGCGUAAAGGGCACGCAGGCGGUUAAUUAAGUUGGAUGUGAAAUCCCCGGGCUUAACCUGGGAAUGGCAUUCAAGACUGGUUAGCUAGAGUCUUGUAGAGGGGGUAGAAUUCCAUGUGUAGCGGUGAAAUGCGUAGAGAUGUGGAGGAAUACCGGUGGCGAAGGCGGCCCCUGGACAAAGACUGACGCUCAUGUGCGAAAGCUGGGGAGCAAAC
Molecule: ribosomal RNA, 437 nt
Filed under: uncultured bacterium
Lineage: Bacteria
Description: bacterial SSU rRNA
Rfam family: Bacterial small subunit ribosomal RNA
Source: RNAcentral